RNAcentral lists this ribosomal RNA (253 nucleotides) under uncultured bacterium. RNAcentral's name for it is "partial 16S ribosomal RNA". It matches the Rfam family "Bacterial small subunit ribosomal RNA", at positions 524 to 776 of the family's 1533-position model. The record is from RNAcentral.
UACGAACCGUCCAAGCGUUAUUCGGAUUUAUUGGGCUUAAAGGGUAUGUAGGCGGCCCUUCAAGUCGGGUGUGAAAGCCCUCGGCUCAACCGAGGAACUGCGCCCGAUACUGUGGGGCUUGAGGGAGACAGAGGUAAGCGGAACUGAUGGUGGAGCGGUGAAAUGCGUUGAUAUCGAGAGGAACACCUGCGGCGAAGGCGGGUUGCUGGGCUGACACUGACGCUGAGGCGCGAAAGCUAGGGGAGCGAACGGG